UCCAGACUCCUACGGGAGGCAGCAGUGGGGAAUAUUGCACAAUGGGGGAAACCCUGAUGCAGCGACGCCGCGUGAGUGAAGAAGUAUCUCGGUACGUAAAGCUCUAUCAGCAGGGAAGAAAAUGACGGUACCUGACUAAGAAGCCCCGGCUAACUACGUGCCAGCAGCCGCGGUAAUACGUAGGGGGCAAGCGUUAUCCGGAUUUACUGGGUGUAAAGGGAGCGUAGACGGCAUAGCAAGUCUGAAGUGAAAGCCCAAGGCUCAACCAUGGGACUGCUUUGGAAACUGUUAAGCUAGAGUGCUGGAGAGGUAAGCGGAAUUCCUAGUGUAGCGGUGAAAUGCGUAGAUAUUAGGAGGAACACCGGUGGCGAAGGCGGCCAACUGGGCUUUAACUGACGCUGAGGCUCGAAAGUGUGGGGAGCAAACAGGAUUAGAUACCCUUGUAC
RNAcentral lists this ribosomal RNA (446 nucleotides) under uncultured bacterium. Its description in RNAcentral is "bacterial SSU rRNA". It matches the Rfam family "Bacterial small subunit ribosomal RNA", at positions 330 to 793 of the family's 1533-position model. The record is from RNAcentral.